GGCCUGAUGGUCUAGAGGCAUGAUUCUCGCUUAGGGUGCGAGAGGUCCCGGGUUCAAUUCCCGGUCGGGCCC
Nematostella vectensis (starlet sea anemone) is the source of this 72-nucleotide non-coding RNA. The record is from Rfam. Lineage: Eukaryota; Metazoa; Cnidaria; Anthozoa; Actiniaria; Edwardsiidae.